This 253-nucleotide ribosomal RNA is filed under the name uncultured bacterium. Its description in RNAcentral is "partial 16S ribosomal RNA". It matches the Rfam family "Bacterial small subunit ribosomal RNA", at positions 524 to 776 of the family's 1533-position model. The record is from RNAcentral.
UACGAAGGGGGCUAGCGUUGUUCGGAUUUACUGGGCGUAAAGCGCACGUAGGCGGAUCGAUCAGUCAGGGGUGAAAUCCCAGAGCUCAACUCUGGAACUGCCUUUGAUACUGUCGAUCUGGAGUAUGGAAGAGGUGAGUGGAAUUCCGAGUGUAGAGGUGAAAUUCGUAGAUAUUCGGAGGAACACCAGUGGCGAAGGCGGCUCACUGGUCCAUUACUGACGCUGAGGUGCGAAAGCAUGGGGAGCGGACAGG